AUCAAAGGCUUGCAACAAAGUACCAAUAAUGGUGACUCUGUAAUCGGACAGGCCGAUUUCUAUCUGCUCUGUGUGGCUCUUAUAAGAAGGAAAUACCAGCUAACUUUCAGGAGUUCCUCUGGAACCAAAGCCGGCCAUUGAAACUCUGUUGUAGGUAUCUUCCAGGUUUCCCUUUCCCUCUCCGUGAACUAAUAAGCAUAAAAGAGCUUCAUGCUAGAAGAGGAGGGAGGACCCAGAAGGGUUGAUAUUUUGAGAAGCGCCUCAUCUGAAGUCUGGUCAAGGAGGCUCUUUGUUUAGCCCUUAUUUAUGAAGAUGGAAACGACCCAGGAAAGGCAGAGACCUUCAUUGAACUGGCCUUAAGGCCUUCAGGCAGCUCUCACCUUGGGCAUGAGUUUGCCAUUGUUCCUCUCACCAUAGAAAAUGUGGCUAUGCUACUACUGCUGUCCUGCCUAAAGGGUGUGUGGUGUCCACCAGAUGGACAUCUAAGCAUUCAUGUUGAUGCCACAGACUCACGGCAGAAGAGGAGGCAGAAAGAAUGGAAGAGCCAGAAAACAGGGAGGAGUGAUUUGGGACACUGUCUUCCAGACACGAAGUGGCCAUUGCAUUCCUGACCUGGCAGCAGCUGUCAUUACCUGCGCAAGACUGGGCUCGUCAGCAUUCCCUCAUGGAUGGUGAGGGAGGGCAAGAAAAAGAUAUCGAAGUAGAAGGGACACUAGUGGAAAAGAAGAAGGACUCGGUGGAAGAAGACAGGGGAAAGGGUGACAAAAAAGAAGGUAACAAGAGAUGGUUAUGAACAAAAUAUACCAUGUGUAUGUAUGAAAAUUUCUGUAGUGGUUUGAAUGUGAAAUGUCCCCACAACCUCCCAUCUUUUGACUACUUGGGCCCCCUCUGGUGGCAGUUUGGGAGCUGGAGCUUUGCUGGAAGAAGGUGCGGCACUGGGGGAUGGGCAGACUAUGAGGUUUAUUAGUCCCACUCACUGGGUGUUCAGAGCUAGCUCCCUUGGACGACUUCGUUCCUCUGAUGCUGUGACAAGCCAUGGCACCCAGUUGUCCGCUGUGCCGUGUCCUCACCGCCAUGGUGAAGCUUCCCUUUCCUUCCAUCCGCUGCUUUUGGUUGGGUGUUUUAUCCCAGCCAUGAGACGUAAGUGCUGCCGU
Molecule: long non-coding RNA, 1154 nt
Organism: Jaculus jaculus (lesser Egyptian jerboa)
Lineage: Eukaryota; Metazoa; Chordata; Mammalia; Rodentia; Dipodidae
Exons: 5
Source: RefSeq, a predicted model, not a curated record